This is a small nucleolar RNA of Conger conger (European conger), 208 nucleotides long. RefSeq annotates it as small nucleolar RNA U3. The record is from RefSeq and is a predicted model, not a curated record. Lineage: Eukaryota; Metazoa; Chordata; Actinopteri; Anguilliformes; Congridae. The transcript has a single exon.
GGUAGCUUCCUUCGCGUGUAGGUUAGUAAGACUAAUGCGUUUCGAAACUGUUUGGACUUGCUAAUCACGAUGACGAAGUCUGUUAUUUUCUUCUGCGCGUGAAGCGGGUCGAGAUUCGAGAUUCGAGGUGAUUCUCGGGUUCCCAGCUUUUGAUGACCGUUCUGAUUUUCUUUUGCGAAGUCGGAGAAAGAGAUGCGGUCUGAGUGAC